RNAcentral lists this transfer RNA (64 nucleotides) under Epigonichthys maldivensis. RNAcentral's name for it is "tRNA-Leu". The record is from RNAcentral. Lineage: Eukaryota; Metazoa; Chordata; Leptocardii; Amphioxiformes; Branchiostomatidae.
ACUCAGUUAGUAUAUUUAACUAUAUUGGUUUUAGGAACCAAAGAAUGGCAGUGUCAACUGAGUG